AGUCCACAUCGACGGGGAGGUUUGGCACCUCGAUGUCGGCUCAUCACAUCCUGGGGCUGUAGUAGGUCCCAAGGGUUGGGCUGUUCGCCCAUUAAAGUGGUACGCGAGCUGGGUUCAGAACGUCGUGAGACAGUUCGGUCCCUAUCCGUCGCAGGCGUAGGAAAUUUGAGAAGACCUGUCCUUAGUACGAGCGGACCGGGAUGGACGUACCUCUGGUGUACCAGUUGUCCUGCCAAGGGCAUGGCUGGGUAGCUAUGUACGGAAUGGAUAAGCGCUGAAAGCAUCUAAGCGCGAAGCCAACUUCAAGAUAAGAUUUCCCACCGCAAGGGUAAGACCCCAGAAAGACUAUCUGGUUG
Molecule: ribosomal RNA, 356 nt
Filed under: Clostridioides difficile
Lineage: Bacteria; Bacillati; Bacillota; Clostridia; Peptostreptococcales; Peptostreptococcaceae
Description: bacterial LSU rRNA
Rfam family: Bacterial large subunit ribosomal RNA
Source: RNAcentral